Molecule: ribosomal RNA, 379 nt
Filed under: uncultured eukaryote
Lineage: Eukaryota
Description: partial 18S ribosomal RNA
Rfam family: Eukaryotic small subunit ribosomal RNA
Source: RNAcentral
CAAUAGCGUAUAUUAAAGUUGUUGCGGUAAAAAAGCUCGUAGUUGGAUUUCUGUUGAGAGCGACCGGUCCAUACCAUGUAUGCGUAUCUGGCUUGCUCUCGGCAUCCUCUCGAUAGACGCUACUGCGCUUGAUUGCGUGGUGCGGAUCUCGGGACUUUUACUUUGAGGAAAUUAGAGUGUUCACGGCAGGCUUUCGCCAGAAUACAUUAGCAUGGAAUAAUACUAUAGGAUCUUGGUUCUAUUUUGUUGGUUUCUAGAAUUGAGAUAAUGAUUAAUAGGGACAAUUGGGGGCAUUCGUAUCAACACGUCAGAGGUGGAAUUCUUGGAUUGUGUUGCGACGAACUACUGCGAAAGCAUUUGCCAAGGAUGUUUUCAUUGA